GCUUUCAUCAGAUGGAUUUUCUUGGAAAUGCAUUUGGAUUAUUAGCUGCACAUCCAAUUAGACCUUUGGUAUCACUACAUCACAUGGAGAAAAUUGAUCCAAUUUUCCCUAACAUGACAAGAAUGAAGUCCCUGGAGCAUUUGUACCAUGCUGCAAAUUUUGAUCCACAAAGAAUUUUGCAGCAAACAGUAUGCUACGAUCGACGAUUUUCGUGGACAGUGUCAGUGUCAUGGGGCUAUGUUGUACAAGUUUUUGAGAACAAUGUACAAUUGCCUGAUG
RNAcentral lists this unclassified non-coding RNA (279 nucleotides) under Hevea brasiliensis (rubber tree). Lineage: Eukaryota; Viridiplantae; Streptophyta; Magnoliopsida; Malpighiales; Euphorbiaceae. The record is from RNAcentral.